RNAcentral lists this ribosomal RNA (491 nucleotides) under uncultured bacterium. RNAcentral's name for it is "partial 16S ribosomal RNA". It matches the Rfam family "Bacterial small subunit ribosomal RNA", at positions 28 to 523 of the family's 1533-position model. The record is from RNAcentral.
GACGACCGCUGGCGGUAUGCUUAACACAUGCAAGUCGAACGAGACGAAGAUGAAGUGCUUGCACGGAUUCUUUAGAAAGUGGCGAACGGGUGAGUAACGCGUGGGUAACCUGCCCUAUGGAAAGGAAUAGCCUCGGGAAACUGGGAGUAAUGCCUUAUAAUAUAUCGAAGUCGCAUGGCUUUGAUAUUAAACGCUCCGGUGCCAUAGGAUGGACCCGCGUCCCAUUAGCUAGUUGGUGAGAUAACAGCCCACCAAGGCGACGAUGGGUAACCGGUCUGAGAGGGCGAACGGUCACACUGGAACUGAGACACGGUCCAGACUCCUACGGGAGGCAGCAGUGGGGAAUAUUGCGCAAUGGGGGCAACCCUGACGCAGCAAUACCGCGUGAGUGAAGAAGGUUUUCGGAUCGUAAAGCUCUGUUAUUGGGGAAGAAAAAAAGACGGUACCCAAGAAGAAAGUCCCGGCUAACUACGUGCCAGCCGCCGCUGUAA